RNAcentral lists this unclassified non-coding RNA (352 nucleotides) under soil metagenome. RNAcentral describes it as "partial contains 5.8S ribosomal RNA, internal transcribed spacer 2, and large subunit ribosomal RNA". The stretch from base 1 to 120 matches the Rfam family "5.8S ribosomal RNA", at positions 35 to 154 of the family's 154-position model. The record is from RNAcentral.
GAUGAAGAACGUAGCGAAAUGCGAUAAGUAAUGUGAAUUGCAGAAUUCAGUGAAUCAUCGAAUCUUUGAACGCACAUUGCGCCCGCCAGUAUUCUGGCGGGCAUGCCUGUUCGAGCGUCAUUACAACCCUCAGGCCCCCGGGCCUGGCGUUGGGGAUCGGCGGAGCCCCCCGUGGGCACACGCCGUCCCCCAAAUGCAGUGGCGGUCCCGCCGCAGCUUCCAUCGCGUAGUAGCUAACACCUCGCGACUGGAGAGCGGCGCGGCCACGCCGGAAAACACCCAACUCUUCUGAAGUUGACCUCGAAUCAGGUAGGAAUACCCGCUGAACUUAAGCAUAUCAAUAAGCGGAGGA